This 432-nucleotide ribosomal RNA is filed under the name uncultured bacterium. RNAcentral's name for it is "partial 16S ribosomal RNA". It matches the Rfam family "Bacterial small subunit ribosomal RNA", at positions 29 to 507 of the family's 1533-position model. The record is from RNAcentral.
AGCGAACGCUGGCGGCAGGCCUAACACAUGCAAGUCGAACGAACUCUUCGGAGUUAGUGGCGGACGGGUGAGUAACACGUGGGAACGUGCCUUUAGGUUCGGAAUAACUCAGGGAAACUUGUGCUAAUACCGAAUGUGCCCUUCGGGGGAAGAUUUAUCGCCUUUAGAGCGGCCCGCGUCUGAUUAGCUAGUUGGUGAGGUAAAGGCUCACCAAGGCGACGAUCAGUAGCUGGUCUGAGAGGAUGAUCAGCCACAUUGGGACUGAGACACGGCCCAAACUCCUACGGGAGGCAGCAGUGGGGAAUCUUGCGCAAUGGGCGAAAGCCUGACGCAGCCAUGCCGCGUGAAUGAUGAAGGUCUUAGGAUUGUAAAAUUCUUUCACCGGGGACGAUAAUGACGGUACCCGGAGAAGAAGCCCCGGCUAACUUCGUG